GAUGAACGCUGGCGGCGUGCCUAAUACAUGCAAGUCGAGCGAACGGACGAGAAGCUUGCUUCUCUGAUGUUAGCGGCGGACGGGUGAGUAACACGUGGAUAACCUACCUAUAAGACUGGGAUAACUUCGGGAAACCGGAGCUAAUACCGGAUAAUAUUUUGAACCGCAUGGUUCAAAAGUGAAAGACGGUCUUGCUGUCACUUAUAGAUGGAUCCGCGCUGCAUUAGCUAGUUGGUAAGGUAACGGCUUACCAAGGCAACGAUGCCUAGCCGACCUGAGAGGGUGAUCGGCCACACUGGAACUGAGACACGGUCCAGACUCCUACGGGAGGCAGCAGUAGGGAAUCUUCCGCAAUGGGCGAAAGCCUGACGGAACAACGCCGCGUGAGUGAUGAAGGUCUUCGGAUCGUAAAACUCUGUUAUUAGGGAAGAACAUAUGUGUAAGUAACUGUGCACAUCUUGACGGUACCUAAUCAGAAAGCCACGGCUAACUACGUG
This 497-nucleotide ribosomal RNA is filed under the name uncultured bacterium. RNAcentral describes it as "partial 16S ribosomal RNA". It matches the Rfam family "Bacterial small subunit ribosomal RNA", at positions 28 to 507 of the family's 1533-position model. The record is from RNAcentral.